UCGGCCCGUCAGUGCUCAAGGACGUGUCGUAUUGAAAAGUACUCCCGAAAAUUUUAUUAAAAAUGACGGUUUGUUCAAUGAACGGAUGUCAUAGUACAUCGGAAAAACACAAGAAAGAUAGUAACAUUACAUUUCACGGGUUUCCUUCCUAUCAUCGAAGCGACAAUUGUUCAGAAAACACUUUCCGUUGUUACAAGGCUACUGAAAUAAAUAAUUAUACUUGUUUUUUUUUUUCUUUCUCAUAAAGUGUUCUCAUCUCGAUCACUCUAAGACCCGUAUCUAUCUAUAGACAAGUUAUAACUUGAAACAUGACUUUUCUCUAUAAUUCUGGCACUUGUUUGUUUGAGCAUAAAAUAUUUUCUUAGGUCAUUCCUUAAGCAAAAGUAACUACUUUGCUUGACUAUAGAUACAGACGUAAACUAGAAUGCUUCUAAGUGAAUUAGAAUAUUCGCGUGUUUUUUGUAAGUUACACUAUUAUUAAAUUAAAAAACCGCCCUAUAAACAAUGCCACCAAAAAUAAUAACUUUACACCAAAUAACGUAAGUAUUUUGAAGUAGGUCGUGUGGUGGCGGGUUUAAACAAAAAACAAAAAAAAUUAUACAAGUUUUAUUUUCAUCAUGCAGGCAAUAUUCGUGUAUUCUGGUAAAUAGGUACGUUAGAUUAUUUAGGAUGUAAACAAAACGGGUCACUACCGAGUAGUUUCUAUAGACGAAUUGCACUUAUAUUUAGCUCCUAAUCGUUUAGGGGAUUUAUGGGCCUUGUCAUCAGUUCAGCAGUAAUAAUUGAUGAGUUCCAAAUAAAUAAAAGGUGUAAUCUAACAAUCACAUUUGUUCUGUGAUCACAAGUAAUAGUUUGAAAUUCUCUAUUUUUAGAGAAAGUUAAUAUAUUGGCAACAUUCUUUUUUUCACUGUGUGCGUUUCGUCGAGCGUAAAUACAAGUACCUUACGCACACAUAGAUUAUAUUUUUGCCUCACUUUUGACAGACCGCUUUGAAGAGAACUAUCGUUCUAUGUGUAAUUAUUCUAAGGGCUGUAAUAAGAGAAAAGUUCACAAAUCGUCACGCACGGAGACGUCGGAGACUCGACGAAUUUCAGCCACUGGAGCAGGCCGGGAUUCGAGGAGGAUACAGCACCACAAACACAUUAAGGCAGAUUAUACAGAAGACCCAAGAGUAUGGCUAUCGAAAUCUGGUCAGUUCUAGGAUCAUAGCAACGUUGCCAAAUAGACUGGGGAUAUAUCCAAGUGAUUAAAUGUAUUUAAAGCGCUGCGAAUAUGACCGUCCAAACCGGGCAGCCUGGACACAUCAAGGAGUGAGACAAGAGGAUGUUAUAUCCCCUAAAUUGUUCACAAAUUUAUUCACUUUUAAGACGCUGGAGUGGAAAGGAAUAAACAUAAACGGCGAGACACUUUUCACACUUGAGAUUUGCACAUGACAUCGUCGUCGUGUUGUAACAAUUGCUGAACAACUUAGCCAACUCUUCUAUUCGCAUUAGCAUUCGAAUGAAUUUGAAUAAAAUCAAGAUCAUGUUUAACCAAUAUGUCCAACCGGAGGCGAUUGCCGUGAGGCAGCUCGCUCAAAAUUAUUUAAAAAUGUGUUUACCUGGGGCAAACAUUGCAGCUUGGUAAAAACAAAUUCGACAAAGAGGCCAGCAGAAGAAUACAAUUGAGCUGGGCCGCUUCAUGAAAAAUUACGUCGAAUAUUUUUGUCGUCUAUUACGCAAAGUCUAAAGACGAAAUACUUCACAACAAACGUUCACGAUUGACUUCCACGGUGAAGGAAUAUCAUCGUGUAAUAAAAAUUAAACCCGUAAAAUUAUAA
Molecule: long non-coding RNA, 1819 nt
Organism: Bombyx mori (domestic silkworm)
Lineage: Eukaryota; Metazoa; Arthropoda; Insecta; Lepidoptera; Bombycidae
Exons: 3
Source: RefSeq, a predicted model, not a curated record